ACCCGGACCGGAGGCCGCCUUAAUGCCCGAUCCAGGGCCAGGUGAAGUUCCUGCAGCAGCCGCUGCUCCUCCGCCAGCUCUCUCGGAGUUCGUAGAGCUGCUGUUUUGGCAGGCUCGGAUCUCGGUGACAGAAGCCUCUGGCCAACACCUCAAGGAUCCGGCUCCAGCCGAACCGCCCAAGCUAUACCCGCCUCUCCAGGGAUGACCUGCUCCGCCCAGACUGCUGCUGGCUGCCGAGACCGAGGAAAAAUGCUGGAAAGGGACAAAAGCACUGUUCCGGCUGUUGAUGGAAGCAGGUUACCCGGUGUCGAAGAAGAAGGCACAGAUCUACAAAGAGGAGUUAAAGUUGCAGGUAUUGUCCCUUGAUCCAUCAUACGAGGGUGAAGACAGCAUACCACGCAGACCCAGAAAAUGCUGAGUGGACUACACAGAGGGACCCCGCUGACCCUCGAGAGACUAAGACCAUCCUUAAGAAGAAGGAAAAGAAGAUCCCGGAUGAACCCCUUCAAGAUGAUGCCGCACAAUCAACUCCUGCUGCUUGGCCUCAUCAACGUGAUUUUGAAUUUAACUUCUGUUUCAACUCAGGACAAUGUUUUCAUCUCAUGGACACAUUCCUAUGCAGACUUCCACAACAUUUCCAACUGCUGGGUAUGUGGGGCUAUACCUCUGUCUGUGACGGAUGGACUUCCUUGGUGGGUGUCACCACUCUGCCAAGGAGAUUUUAAACCACUCCGCUCUUUUCUGGGAUGACAAAAAGAGACUUUCCUCUCUCUUGUCAGUCAUAACCUCUCCUUGCUGUCUUGGUGUAAGACCUACAGUCAAUAGACUUGGGUCAUGGGGUUACAUUUGAUAUAAAUGCCAAUGUAACAAGAGCCUAACCUACAACAAGCCCUGGUAAAUCUACCUUAUUUACAUGCUAGGUGGACAAGAUCUGUGUUUCAAUGGUAUGAGUAUAUUGCUGCCUUAGUUGUACCCUCUAACGGGACAACAGAUAUUAUGAUUAAAGUAGAGACCUUGACUAAUUUCACAAAACAGGCCCUCCUAGAUAGAACAAAAGCCAUCCAAGUCUUAAAUGAAGAGCAAAUCCAAAUGAGAAAAGCGGUAAUUCAUAAUAGAAUGGCUUUGAACAUACUAACAGCUGCCCAAGGAGGGACCUGUGCUAUAAUUAAGGUUGAAUGUUCUGCAUACAUUCCUGACUUAUCUGGCAAUGUAUUGGCUGCUUUAGAUGACAUGAAAAACCAGGUAAAAUCAAUGUCAAAUAAAAACAUUCCUUUCUGGACUUCGGUCCUAUCUUGGGUGAAGGGCAAUUGGUGGAAAACUAUAUUUACUACUGUUAUAGUUGCCCUGAUAGUUCUGCUUUGUGGACCCUGAAUUUUACAAUGUAUUAUGAACUUUGUAACCCAGAGGUUGAUAGCGUUCUCUCAUGUGGGUGGCCAGAGGGCUAGGGUAUAAUAUAUCGCAAUAAAUGAUGCUCGUUACAGAAACUAGGAGCAUCAAGAGGGGGAAAUGAAGAAGGAAUUCAUAGGGCCUGGACUCCAUCUUAGGCCUGCUCAUGCUGACCAUGCUCGGCCGCCUCUCCAAUGGUCUCUGAACUCUGUGUUAGUGCUUGUGGAAACGACAACAGAAGGCUAAGACCCCCUCCGGACAGGGGAACCUUGAAGAUCGUAUCCAGGUUACUCAUCGCCUAAGUGAGCACAUACACUAAUCACCCCUUCCUCCAGACAGGCCAUAAAUUUUCUGUACCUAUCGGAGUGUAACCUCGGGCUUAUUGAUUAUUGGCUAAUUGUUUAACUGUCUGAGCACAUGGCACAUGAAUGAUGGGGUUAUUGGGAUUGUAUUUACCCUUCUUUUGUUUCUGUAAGUCUCAAGGAAUUUGGGGUGGUGGGUUCGGACACGUACACAUGGGGUAUAAAAGAUUUUCACAAAUGCUGGUCGGGGUCCUUGGCUAAGAGAAGACUCUGCCUUGGGCCCGCCGGUGUAACAAACUGCACUCCACUAUCUGCAUUGUCCUUCUGAGUGAGUUUGUUUCCCGGAACGCGUGGCCACAACAGUGGUAACAGCUCCCCGCAGGUACAUUCCUGGGAGUUGUACCGUCUCAGUCAAAAUCAGGUUGAUUUACAGAAAAUAAUGAAGAGAGGCGACACUGCUUGCGGCCCUGACUUGGAGGAUGGAGUGAAGCCUGUGUGGUGCUGUCAUAGCACCCAUGGGUGGGAGGCAGGGUGCUGCUUUCCUGCAUGUCUUUUCUUGCACAUCCUGGGGACCUUUAGGUGCUGGGGGAAGACCUCCCAGGAGGUCUCUGGGGAGAAAGGGUCCUGCCAGUUGACAGAACAGGCAUGGGCUGGCUUUCAGG
This is a long non-coding RNA of Dama dama (fallow deer), 2350 nucleotides long. RefSeq lists it as uncharacterized. The record is from RefSeq and is a predicted model, not a curated record. The transcript has 3 exons. Lineage: Eukaryota; Metazoa; Chordata; Mammalia; Artiodactyla; Cervidae.